This 445-nucleotide telomerase RNA is filed under the name Dermophis mexicanus (Mexican burrowing caecilian). RNAcentral's name for it is "Vertebrate telomerase RNA". It matches the Rfam family "Vertebrate telomerase RNA". Rfam says of the family: Telomerase is a ribonucleoprotein reverse transcriptase that synthesises telomeric DNA. Telomerase RNAs differ greatly in sequence and structure between vertebrates, ciliates and yeasts, but they share a 5' pseudoknot structure close to the template sequence. Vertebrate telomerase RNAs have a 3' H/ACA snoRNA-like domain. The record is from Rfam by way of RNAcentral. Lineage: Eukaryota; Metazoa; Chordata; Amphibia; Gymnophiona; Dermophiidae.
UCUCUCCGGAGAGGGGCGGUUUCUCUGUCUUCUAACCCUAAUGCGGUGCUUCGGCAGAAGCUCUCCACUGCGUACGCUCACUGUUUUUCUAGCUAACUUUCAGUGAGCAGGGAGAGCGAAGUCCAGUUUCACGACAACGGAGAAAAAAUGUUAGCUGGGGAACGUCCCUUUCCCGAGAGCCCGCGCCGUCCUUUUUCUUCCUCGGGCCCGUUGGCAUAGCCCCUGGCCUCCUCGCUCUAUAGGCCGCGGUCAGCUCGGGCCCCAGCUCCGGCAGGGGUUCCACUGCUGCCGCGAAGAGUUCGCCUCUGUCAGCCUUGAGGUGGCCGGGAUAGAAUAGGCGGGCUCGCGGCAGCGCGCGGGAAAGAGCAAAUGGUGAACUGGGUGCCUGUUGGGGUCGCGUCCCUGAAGAGUGGGAAGUGCGAUCUGUGUUCCUGUUCAGACACAC